GCGGGCGUGGUGAAACUGGCAGACACGUCAGAUUUAGGAUCUGAUGCCUUCGGUGUGCAGGUUCGAGUCCUGUCGCCCGCACGA
RNAcentral lists this transfer RNA (84 nucleotides) under Erysipelotrichaceae bacterium. Its description in RNAcentral is "tRNA-Leu". It matches the Rfam family "tRNA". Rfam says of the family: Transfer RNA (tRNA) molecules are approximately 80 nucleotides in length. Lineage: Bacteria; Bacillati; Bacillota; Erysipelotrichia; Erysipelotrichales; Erysipelotrichaceae. The record is from RNAcentral.